Molecule: ribosomal RNA, 270 nt
Filed under: uncultured archaeon
Lineage: Archaea
Description: partial 16S ribosomal RNA
Rfam family: Archaeal small subunit ribosomal RNA
Source: RNAcentral
CAGCGCCACGAGUGGUCAGGAUGAUUAUUGGGCCUAAAGCAUCCGUAGCCGGCGCUGUAAGUUUUCGGUUAAAUCUGUACGCUCAACGUACAGGCUGCCGGGAAUACUGCAGCGCUAGGGAGUGGGAGAGGUAGACGGUACUCGGUAGGAAGGGGUAAAAUCCUUUGAUCUAUUGAUGACCACCUGUGGCGAAGGCGGUCUACCAGAACACGUCCGACGGUGAGGGAUGAAAGCUGGGGGAGCAAACCGGAUUAGAUACCCCAGUAGUCC